RNAcentral lists this ribosomal RNA (406 nucleotides) under uncultured bacterium. RNAcentral describes it as "partial 16S ribosomal RNA". It matches the Rfam family "Bacterial small subunit ribosomal RNA", at positions 30 to 526 of the family's 1533-position model. The record is from RNAcentral.
AUUGAACGCUGGCGGCAGGCUUAACACAUGCAAGUCGAGCGAGAGGCGGACGGGUGAGUAAUGUCUGGGAAACUGCCUGAUGGAGGGGGAUAACUACUGGAAACGGUAGCUAAUACCGCAUACCAUCAGAUGUGCCCAGAUGUGAUUAGCUAGUAGGUGGGGUAAUGGCUCCCCUAGGCGACGAUCCCUAGCUGGUCUGAGAGGAUGACCAGCCACCCUGGAACGGAGACACGUUCCAGACGCCUACGGGAGGCAGCAGUGGGGAACAUUGCACAAGGGGCUCAAGCCUGAUGCAGCCAUGCCGCGUGUGUGAAGAAUGCCUUCGGGUUGUAAAGCACUUUCAGCGAGGAGGCGUUACUCUCAGAAGAAGCACCGGCUAACGCCGUGCCAGCAGCCGCGGUAAUAC